RNAcentral lists this ribosomal RNA (484 nucleotides) under uncultured bacterium. RNAcentral's name for it is "partial 16S ribosomal RNA". It matches the Rfam family "Bacterial small subunit ribosomal RNA", at positions 28 to 523 of the family's 1533-position model. The record is from RNAcentral.
GACGAACGCUGGCGGCGUGCUUAACACAUGCAAGUCGAACGAUGAAGCCGGAGCUUGCUCUGGUGAAUUAGUGGCGAACGGGUGAGUAACACGUGAGUAACCUGCCCUUGACUCUGGGAUAACUGCGGGAAACUGUAGCUAAUACCGGAUACGACCCUCGGAGGCAUCUCCUGGGGGUGGAAAGAAUUUCGGUCAAGGAUGGACUCGCGGCCUAUCAGCUAGUUGGUGGGGUAAAGGCUCACCAAGGCGACGACGGGUAGCCGGCCUGAGAGGGGGACCGGCCACACUGGGACUGAGACACGGCCCAGACUCCUACGGGAGGCAGCAGUGGGGAAUAUUGCACAAUGGGCGCAAGCCUGAUGCAGCAACGCCGCAUGAGGGAUGACGGCCUUCGGGUUGUAAACCUCUUUUAGCAGGGAAGAAGCGAAAGUGACGGUACCUGCAGAAAAAGCACCGGCUAACUACGUGCCAGCCGCCGCCGUAA